CAUGUGAUUUUCACAUAAAACACAUGGAGAAAUUAAUUUAGGCAUAUGGGAUUUUAAUUUAAAACAUGGGUAAUUAAAAAGUGGGUCUCAAAGCAUUUAAAAAAAAAUAAAUUGAAAAAUUAAAAACAAUUUAAUUAAUUAAAAGGUGGAGAAUGGGCUGGCCAGGUUUGGCCAACUCAGGCAAGUCGGUCUGCAUGGGCCACGGACAGCAGGCCUGUGGGUUGGGCCACAGGUUGCGUGCUGGGCUUGUUGGGCCAGUUCUUUGCUCGUAUGUGCGGGGUGCGCGCACGACUAUUUCC
This 299-nucleotide long non-coding RNA is filed under the name Carica papaya (papaya). Its description in RNAcentral is "long non-coding RNA (CPAP_LNC007066)". Lineage: Eukaryota; Viridiplantae; Streptophyta; Magnoliopsida; Brassicales; Caricaceae. The record is from RNAcentral.